This 354-nucleotide long non-coding RNA is filed under the name Brassica rapa (field mustard). RNAcentral's name for it is "long non-coding RNA (BRAP_LNC000515)". Lineage: Eukaryota; Viridiplantae; Streptophyta; Magnoliopsida; Brassicales; Brassicaceae. The record is from RNAcentral.
UAUGCCUUUGUUAUUUAUAUAUAUAAUAAAUCAUUAUUUAAAUAAAAAAAAUAAAAAAUAAAAUAAUAAUAAGAAUAAUAAUAAUAAAAAAUUAAAAAAUUAAAAAAAUAAAAAAAUUAAAAAAUUAAAAAUUUAAAAAAUUAAAUUUUUUUUAUGGUUUCGAAUUAUACUUUUUCAAAUUCGAACUUUUUUAUAAAUUGUUUGGAAAACGAAAAUUAUGUUUAAAAAUAUUUUUAAAAUUUUUUAUAUAUUUUUUAAGUAUUUAUUUAUAUAUUUAUUAGAAUCCUAAAUUUCACAUUCCAAAAACUCUACCCCACCCCUCAACUCUAAACCCUAAGUCUAGAUUAGUUAAUC